Molecule: ribosomal RNA, 459 nt
Filed under: uncultured Acholeplasma sp.
Lineage: Bacteria; Bacillati; Mycoplasmatota; Mollicutes; Acholeplasmatales; Acholeplasmataceae
Description: bacterial SSU rRNA
Rfam family: Bacterial small subunit ribosomal RNA
Source: RNAcentral
ACCCCGCACAAGCGGUGGAUCAUGUUGUUUAAUUCGAUGAUACGCGAAGAACCUUACCAGGUCUUGACAUCCCCUGCAAAGCUAUGGAGACAUAGUGGAGGUUAUCAGGGAGACAGGUGGUGCAUGGUUGUCGUCAGCUCGUGUCGUGAGAUGUUGGGUUAAGUCCCGCAACGAGCGCAACCCUUAUUGCUAGUUACCAUCAUUGAGUUGGGGACUCUAGCGAGACUGCCAGUGAUAAACUGGAGGAAGGUGGGGAUGACGUCAAAUCAUCAUGCCCCUUAUGACCUGGGCUACAAACGUGAUACAAUGGCUGAAACAAAGGGCAGCGAAGCAGUGAUGUGGAGCGAAACCCAAAAAAGCAGUCUCAGUUCGGAUUGAAGUCUGCAACUCGACUUCAUGAAGUCGGAAUCGCUAGUAAUCGCGGAUCAGAACGCCGCGGUGAAUACGUUCUCGGGGUUU